CCUACGGGACGCAGCAGUGAGGAAUAUUGGUCAAUGGGCUAAGGCCUGAACCAGCCAAGUCGCGUGAGGGAAGACGGUCCUAUGGAUUGUAAACCUCUUUUGUCGGGGAGCAGCGAGGCCACGUGUGGCCGAAGUGAGAGUACCCGAAGAAAAAGCAUCGGCUAACUCCGUGCCAGCAGCCGCGGUAAUACGGAGGAUGCGAGCGUUAUCCGGAUUUACUGGGUGUAAAGGGAGCGUAGACGGCGCGGCAAGUCUGAAGUGAAAGGCAGGGGCUUAACCCCUGAACUGCUUUGGAAACUGCCAUG
RNAcentral lists this ribosomal RNA (305 nucleotides) under uncultured bacterium. Its description in RNAcentral is "bacterial SSU rRNA". It matches the Rfam family "Bacterial small subunit ribosomal RNA", at positions 338 to 640 of the family's 1533-position model. The record is from RNAcentral.